Sphaeroforma arctica JP610 is the source of this 84-nucleotide non-coding RNA. NCBI's taxonomy places the organism in Eukaryota, Ichthyosporea, Ichthyophonida. The record is from the annotation of a RefSeq genome assembly.
UCGUGGAUAGUAAAGUUCCUAGUAUCGUCGCCUGUCAAUCAUAGCAGACCGCGGAAGACCCGGGUUCAAUUCUCGGUUCGUGAA